This 392-nucleotide long non-coding RNA is filed under the name Homo sapiens (human). RNAcentral's name for it is "non-protein coding LINC00544:5". Lineage: Eukaryota; Metazoa; Chordata; Mammalia; Primates; Hominidae. The record is from RNAcentral.
UGGCUUCCUCCUGAGCACACUGGGAUGUGGCAUUACAUCGGGGCUGCUGAGUGCCCUUACCUUCAGCUGCCCAGAUGCAGAGGCAGUUCCACAAGGUACUGGCACAAGAAGAGUCGUGGAAGACUGACCUGGCCAUGGCUUCUCAUGUCCCAGCUCAGGACCUGCCACAUCAAUUCUCCCUUUCCUCUGGCCGUCACGUGUGGAGUGAAAUUCUCAGAAGCGGCUGUCCCUGUGCACCUCUCUGGCUGUGUCCAGAAAAUGAACAUCUGUUUACAGCUUCAAUUUUCUAAUGAUUAGAAUGCCACAAACAAGAAAACCCAGAGGAAAGCUGUUGAUGCUGAAAUGUUUCCUUCCUCUACAUAUUCCAUGAUGCGUCCUGUGGGGUUAUGCAA